Molecule: ribosomal RNA, 433 nt
Filed under: uncultured bacterium
Lineage: Bacteria
Description: partial 16S ribosomal RNA
Rfam family: Bacterial small subunit ribosomal RNA
Source: RNAcentral
AACGAACGCUGGCGGCAGGCCUAACACAUGCAAGUCGAGCGGACCCUUCGGGGUUAGCGGCGGGCGGGUGAGUAACGCGUGGGAAUAUGCCCUUCUCUACGGAAUAGUCCUGGGAAACUGGGGGUAAUACCGUAUACGCCCUUUGGGGGAAAGAUUUAUCGGGGAAGGAUUAGCCCGCGUUGGAUUAGGUAGUUGGUGGGGUAAUGGCCUACCAAGCCGACGAUCCAUAGCUGGUUUGAGAGGAUGAUCAGCCACACUGGGACUGAGACACGGCCCAGACUCCUACGGGAGGCAGCAGUGGGGAAUCUUAGACAAUGGGGGCAACCCUGAUCUAGCCAUGCCGCGUGAGUGAUGAAGGCCUUAGGGUUGUAAAGCUCUUUCAGCUGGGAAGAUAAUGACGGUACCAGCAGAAGAAGCCCCGGCUAACUCCGUG